This 2744-nucleotide long non-coding RNA is filed under the name Onthophagus taurus. Its description in RNAcentral is "uncharacterized LOC111413760, transcript variant X5". The record is from RNAcentral. Lineage: Eukaryota; Metazoa; Arthropoda; Insecta; Coleoptera; Scarabaeidae.
AGCUAGGGUGGCGCAUGCGAAUCGAGCAUGUAUUGAUUGCUGAAGGCUCGACUUCCGGGAUGUUAGAAGACCGAAGUGAUCUUGCGGUGAUCCCAAGAAAAGAACGUGUUUGUUAUAUGCAAACAAGCAUUACGAGUUCGCUGAUGUUGUUUGAAAUGCCAUUCCAAAAUGGCAAUGAAAAUAAAUUAAAAUGGAAGCAAGAAGGAAGUAUUCAAAUUCUAAGUUUAAGGUUAGUUUUAAUUUCAGAAUGAAAUUUGUUAUCUAUUCUUGUUUUAAGGGGGUGUUUUAUGGUUUUAAUCGUUUUAACUAUUAUAACUUGAGUUUUAUCUACUAUGAAAUACUGACGAUGGACCAUCAAAGUUGGAUUUUAGCACAUCAUUGAAUUAAAAAAGUUCAUAAAUUCUUUUGAAUCGGAUUAACCUAUAGAAUUCUUGGGAAUAUGGAUUUAAGUGCUAAAGUGUGAACUGCAAGUAUUCCUAAUUGCUAAAAUGGUUAAGAUCGCAAAAAUUAUGAAAUAGAAAGUACCAUAAUAGGGACGAACAUACACAUCCGGCAGUAAUAAUGGAGGAAAGAUUAUGCGAUGGAUAUAUUCAAAGUAAAUAUUCCCAUCUCAUUCAAGUAGGAGUAGGAAAACCCGUGAGGAGAUGGACGGCGGGGAAGAACACAGUAAUUGAGGAGACGAAAAUCAAACGACAUCUCUAAUAUGAAGUAUUGUCUUUUGCUUUUGAGUUUCAACAAUAAAAUGGCGUGGACAAAAGAGACUUAGACUGCUAAGGAAGAAGAAUUGAUAGAGGGCGCAUGAAACGGAAUACAUCCAUAAAUACAUGUAUAUAAUAUACUAUAUUAUAUGCGGCGUCCAAAAUAUAAUUCUCAACUUAUUUUCAGAAAAUGUCGUCUUGAGUUGUUGUAGUUUGUAACAAUUUCGGAUUAAUUUAUUUAGCGUAUGGCAUAUAAGACACACAAUACGAUAGUAGGUAAGUUACAAAAAAUGAAUAGAAUGACAGUCAUUAAAGAGUACAACCUACGUUUUGGUUGUUAUUGGUAAAUUUUACAUCCAAUUCGGCUAGCCAUUAAAAGUUUUUGCAAGGUUUAGCAUCAAAGAGGCUCCCACAGCGUUAGGAUAAGAUUCAAUAGGGCAGCACCCCACAAUUUGCUGAAUACAUUAUUUUGAAGCUUCGCAGUCACACUGAGGCGAUGGCAGCACUCUCCAUUUGUUGAGGCUAUCGCUACAGAUUCCAAGUACCGUACAUACUCUGUUCAGGUCCUUCCAAAGCUGAGAAAAUCGAAAUCCUUUUAAUUUUUGGUUGAGGAGGAUCUCUUGGUUUAUUCUUGGUGAUGCUUUGGCGUUCCAGUCUUUUCCCCACUCAGAAUUGAUGUUGUACUUGUUUUUAACCAGUUCCUCAGCAAGAUUAAUAUAAUGGAGGUUGUCUAUGGCCAUUAAUAUGGAAAUAAGGUGAGCAUUUUUUUUUUCGAAGGUUUCUGGGGCAAUAUAGCAAUUUUGGAAACUGUUUCUGUCGAAUUAUUAUUUAGUUAAGUCUAUUAGUCUAUCAACCUCAAAAUCCAGCGCACAUCUGACCUUCUAACUUCAUUGUAUGUGCCGCGUAAAAUGGCUACUUGGCCUUAAGAUUGCACUCCACGUACAUGUAACAUAGUCUGGUACAGGUGAUGCAAAACCUUAACCGAUUUUAACACAGGGUCUUGUGGGGAGCAACCUUUGGUGAUCCCAAAAGGAUUCCUGGCAAAUACUUAUCAAUGCUACGUUGGGUACGUAUAUAAUGUUUGCAUAGGUUUGUAUUAAACUGUAAUACUUUGCUGUGAUAUAUUGGUGCAUAUUGGUGACAAGAGAAAUAGCUGAAAAUUGUUUUGAAGUUCGUAAGUCGACCGCUAAGCGGCGUAACUGUCAUAGAGAAACAUAAAAUUUCCGCUAUCUCAGAAAGGUAGAUGUUGGGCUAUAAAUUUGGCAUUAUUUGACAGCUUAGAUAGUACCGCAUAGUUUUGUUUCGUGACAUAUCUCAUAUUUAUCAUAAUAAGGGAGGGGGAGGUCAAUGCGCGUUUAAAUGUUUACAUUUUAAUAUCUUCUGGACCAUUUGAUAAUUCUUCAUGAUACACAAUGAUACAAAAAUGUUGUAUGAAAUAAAACAUUUCAUAUCUGUAUAAUAUAAUAAUAUUAAAUAACAAAAGAUAAACAAUUAUAGAUAAGAAAAAUUUAUUUUCUAAACGCUUACACUAGUGCUGUCACCGGACCCCCUCCCAACCGAUGCAAAACACUUCUCAUAUUUCUUUUUAAAUGAUUGUAAGUUGUAAUCUGUGUAGCAAAUAGAAAGGUUAUUAAAAAUCGAACCAACCAUAUAAUAAAAGCAAUGUUUCAACGCUUGCAUACUAUGUUUUGGAAUGGAAAUCUAAUGUUUCUACGCAUUGAUGAUUUCAUAUAGGUAAGAUGGCCUGCAGUUAGUGAUAAUAAAAAUUAUUCGAUAAGGAAUAUGAAGUCUACGACUUUCUACCAUAUUUAAGCAAUUUUCAUUGGCCCAUUUAUUACGACGCAUACAAUAAAUAAAUCUGAGACAAGAUUCUUGAAUCCUUGUUAUUCUCUCCGCAUUCUUCAUCAUCAAACAAGGCUCAUAAAUAAGAUUAUAAAGGAAAAGUAGUUUCAAUAGUAUUUUUUAAGUGUAUUUUAUAAUUCACUAGCAUCUAACUGAAAGUUGUAUGGAGAAGAAGCAAUAAAAAAUUUAUUAAUUUCAUUACAA